RNAcentral lists this ribosomal RNA (526 nucleotides) under Terracoccus sp. RNAcentral describes it as "bacterial SSU rRNA". It matches the Rfam family "Bacterial small subunit ribosomal RNA", at positions 554 to 1081 of the family's 1533-position model. Lineage: Bacteria; Bacillati; Actinomycetota; Actinomycetes; Micrococcales; Intrasporangiaceae. The record is from RNAcentral.
UUGGGCGUAAGAGCUUGUAGGUGGUUUGUCGCGUCUGCUGUGAAAAUCCGAGGCUCAACCUCGGACUUGCAGUGGGUACGGGCAGACUAGAGUGUGGUAGGGGAGACUGGAAUUCCUGGUGUAGCGGUGGAAUGCGCAGAUAUCAGGAGGAACACCGAUGGCGAAGGCAGGUCUCUGGGCCAUUACUGACACUGAGAAGCGAAAGCAUGGGGAGCGAACAGGAUUAGAUACCCUGGUAGUCCAUGCCGUAAACGUUGGGAACUAGGUGUGGGUCUCAUUCCACGAGAUCCGUGCCGCAGCUAACGCAUUAAGUUCCCCGCCUGGGGAGUACGGCCGCAAGGCUAAAACUCAAAGGAAUUGACGGGGGCCCGCACAAGCGGCGGAGCAUGCGGAUUAAUUCGAUGCAACGCGAAGAACCUUACCAAGGCUUGACAUACACCGGAAUCACUCAGAGAUGGGUGCGUCUUCGGACUGGUGUACAGGUGGUGCAUGGUUGUCGUCAGCUCGUGUCGUGAGAUGUUGGGUU